GACGAACGCUGGCGGCGUGGGAUUAGGCAUGCAAGGUCGAACGGUAGGAGUACCUUCGGGUAUCUGAGAGUGGCGAACGGGUGAGUAACACGUAGGUGAUCUACCCUCAAGAUUGGGACAACCCAGGGAAACUUGGGCUAAUACCGGAUGAAAGCAGCAGUGAUGUUGUUUGAAAGGUGGCGUAAGCUGCCGUUUGGGGAUGAGCCUGCGCUCUAUUAGUUAGUUGGCGGGGUAAAGGCCCACCAAGGCGAUGAUAGAUAGGCGGCCUUAACGGGUGGUCGCCCACACUGGGAUUGAGAUACGGCCCAGACUCCUACGGGAGGCAGCAGUCGAGAAUAGUCUACAAUGGCCGAAAGGCUGAUAGUGCGACGCCGCGUGAACGAAGAAGCCCUUCGGGGUGUAAAGUUCUUUUAUAUGUGAGCAGUGCUUUCUAUGUGAACAGCAUGGGGAGAGAGAUAUUAGCAUAUGAAUAAGCAACGGCUAACUCCGUG
RNAcentral lists this ribosomal RNA (491 nucleotides) under uncultured bacterium. RNAcentral's name for it is "bacterial SSU rRNA". It matches the Rfam family "Bacterial small subunit ribosomal RNA", at positions 28 to 507 of the family's 1533-position model. The record is from RNAcentral.